ACUUGACAAGUUUGGGAGAGCUUGGCAAAAUAUUGCUUGUGAAAUCUUGGCUUUCACUGAAAGGAGAGGCCAUGGAACAAUCUGUGAUAACUGAAGAAACCCAAACAAACCCCAGAUCCUGCCAUUGUGAUGUGCUGACAGACAGGAAUCUAUGCGGCAAAUGAUGAAACGUGCUGCGACACACAGAAUCAAGUUGCUGUCAAGACCGUAGCCUGAUUACACAGGAAAAAUUGCACACAAACCAAGGCCUUAUGCAAUGAAUCAUAAAAGCAGAGAGAAGAUAAGUGAAGUUAUAAGGUCAAAUUCCCAGUGUCACUACGGAAAGCGUGGGUGACAAAUCAUGACAUCCCUUCUCUGGCAGACAAUCUCCAGCUUCAUCCCCUGCAGGACUGCUGACAUGCUUAGGGACCUUGUGAUCACACAACCUGCAGUUGUAUCGACAGCUGGGACACAUGCAGAAGAUGAACGACGCAGGCUGGAGCCAGAUGAUAACAUUUUUCCACUCUCAGGGAGUGUGUGAUUCUUCUUGAGGAAGAGACUGUCUGAAACCAUUGGAUUGCGCUGUAGUGCAUCCUGUGAUGGACUCAAACAUAUAAUCACAGUCCUUAAAAUGUAACGAGUCCCUACUGUACAGUGAAACAAUUCCAGACGUAUGUAUGUGACAUGGGAAGAAGCAGGUGCCAAAAAUUCCUCUUUUGUCUGGCCAUAAAGUGCAAAAAUAUUUUCUCUAAAAGGUAAAAAUCCAGUGAGCUCUCUAACAUAAAACUUUGUUUUUAUAUGUUCAUAUCCACUAUAUUUCUCUUCAGAAUUUAAGCACCUCCAGAAACUUUUUUUUUUUUUUAAAAAAAAAAGGACUUGAAUUCUCCUCCUCACUUCAAGAAGCUGUGGGGGAAAAAAAUAUAUAGUUGCAUAUAUGUGAACAUAUGAGCAUGUAUGUAAAUCUGGAGUUGCACUGGACUUUUAAUAGCAUCUAAUUCAGGUGUGAUAAUCAGGAGAAAAGAACUAGGCAAGCUGCCCUCUCCAGCAUUGGUGGCUGGGUGCUCCCAAGCUCAUCUUGAGCUUGCAAGGGAGAGAGAAAAGGGAGGAGAAGGCACCAUCUGCAAAGCAAAGACUGAGAGGUGAUGGCUCUGGACAGAGAGGACAGUAGUGGGGAAAAAAGCAAGUGAUGUUCAAAACAGGUUGGACAACAGGCAGUUCAGGAGCUGACCAUGGUUCAACAGCUGGUUCCACUAACUGGGACUAAACCCCAUCCAACAGGCUGUAAGAGACAGACAGUGGGUUUUUGCCCUCUUUCUAUGUUUUUGUAUCUUUUCUUCUGAGAAAACUAUGCUAAAGCAGGAAAAGUUUUGCUGUUGGAGGGCAUCUGCAGGCUUGUGCUGGAAAAACCUACUUCGGAGGAAUGGCCAAACUGUCUCACGCCAAUGGUUUGCUGGUUUAGUAUCUUGCGUGUUGCUGGAAACAGCAUCAAACAUUUCAGAGGAAGGUGCAAGAAACAUAGUAGAAAAUUGAUGCAGGCCAACCUGGCCAGCAGUUCUUAGUGGCUAUAGUGGACAACAUCAUAGCAGACACCCUUUGUGCUUGGUCCCAUUGAUCAUUCCAACCCCUGGUAUUUUUUCAUAUCAGUGUAAUGUCCACUUCUCUUUAAACUUGCUAAGAAAUGGUGAGGCAAUGCGAUCUAUGACUUAAUCAUGUGCCAGAGGUGCCUGUGUUGGGGGUAGAUUGGGUUAGGAAGAUGGGGAAGCAUCUCUUUUAUUGGGUUUGAAAUUUGCAACUUCUCAUUUUUAUGGAAUUUCUCAUUGUCCUUAGGUUUGUACCCAGUCCUUUCCCUGCUUUAAUUUGGGUCUAAUGUUUAUAAAUACAAUUAGCAAAAGCAGAACAAAUGAACUGAGCCACACACUGUAUUCAGUCACAAUAUUUAUGAUAUGACCAAUACUAACAUUUCUGAGAAAAACAUUUAUCAGGGACAGUUUACAGACUGUAUUUGAGAGUUAAAAAAAAAUUCCUAUGUUUUUCUCCCCAAAGCAUCUUUAUACUCCGCUCCAGCAAGCUCUGGUAUUUUAUGUCUAUAGAAAAUAACACAGUUCACAUUAGUAAGCCCAAAUGUUUCUAAAUUGACUGCGACACAUGUUUAAUUUCCUAAAAAGUACUUGAUCAAAAGCUUAAAAUUGCCUGCAACCUGCUGAACUGUUCUUCAGAACUGACAGAGAAGCAGAAGGAAAGGGUGGUCUCUAGAGAGCUAAUCUUACAGUUGGAAUCCUUUGUGUAUUCAGCCAAAUAGGAUUGGAGGCCAGGUUUAGUUGCCUGUAUAGAGCUCAGAUUAGAAAUUCAUAAAAAGGAAGAAAAGAGGAGAAAAGUUUUAAUGGAAAAAUAAAAUCUGACAAAGCUCCUAUUUUAUUAAAAUCAGUACUCCCCAUUUCAGCCAAAGAAUUUUUGGUUUAUUUUGUUUUGGUUUUACUACAUAUGAUUUCCAUGGUAUUAUUUCAAAUAGCUGCAACUGGGCUCAUACAAGGAAGAAUAUGCGUCUGAUUUAUAUAGUUUAUACUCAAACUGGUAUACCACGCAGACUUCUAGAGCAUGCAUUGGGCUUUUUCUCCUUAUUUCCAUGUUUACUCCCAAUCACUAAACUGAAGCAAAAACAUUCACAUACUCUUUAGCAAUGCCAUGGAAAUGUGAGAAAUGUUAUACACUAGUCAGAAGAAAAACAAAUUUUUGAAACUUGAGUGAGCCAGGAUUAGGACAGUAAUGACCCAGUAGCAAUUUAUGGGAAUAUUGUGGCCCAAGAGGAAAAGAGAAAUUUCCCAAGUGUAGCUGUAUAUUGAUUUCAUGCAUAGGCUGGAGGAGUUAGAGUGGGAAGCAGGGUAAAGGCUUGGGAAAGGCAAAGCUGACAGCAGUAUUAAAGCACAUGAUGAAGUUGUUCACUUUCAUACAAAACAGUACUGGUAGUUUUAUAAAAUAUAUGCAUUUUUCACAUCAAGCAAAGUAGAUGUGAGGCUGAGAAGUAAGUAUUAAUGGGGUCAGAUCUUUCCUAAAGUCAGUCAGGCUCAGAUAGGUCUAAGAGCAGCAAAAAAUAUAAAUACUAGCUGCCAAGACUUUAAACAACUAAGAUUUUGGCAAAGUCUUUCUGAUCAUAUGAUGCGCAUUCUACUAGUGAAAUCAGAGUUGUAUAAAUUCUUGCAAGGUAUUUUUAGAAAACUAUGAAGAAUUAUCUGGAACAAAUCAGAGAGGGAGAGAAUUGCCCUAAAAUUAUACAGAUGAUCAGAUCACUUUAAUUUGUUAAAUAUCUAAGAAAACCUACAGGAAAAAUAAUAACAAUAGGCUCUAAAAAAAGCUAUUACAGAUCUUUGUGUAUGGAUUUUCCAUUCUGUGUGUUGUUUCUGCCCAGGUUUGUCAUUUAAUUUCUGCAAGUACUGUGAGAAAUCAGUCUGCCCGCAAGGUUUUCAAUGCUUAUAUUACUUUUGUUUUGGAAACAUGAAAUCCCUUCAUGACUCCAUAUUCUGAACUGCUGUUCUUCAGUUAAAUCUGCAAGUCUGAUGACCUCGCAAUGCUAUGUUAACACCUCCGAAGGUGUAGUUGUCCAAACAGGUAUUUAUUAAAUGUUUUCUUCCAAAAGUGACAGGAUGUUUCUUGCGGUUCAUCAGAGAUUAUUCAAAUGACCACAUUGCAGCUUUUGCAUCUGCAGGCAAAGAAUUUGUGAUGAGAUCAUUUUGAUUCAAAUAAACACA
Dromaius novaehollandiae (emu) is the source of this 3722-nucleotide long non-coding RNA. RefSeq lists it as uncharacterized. The record is from RefSeq and is a predicted model, not a curated record. The transcript has 3 exons. Lineage: Eukaryota; Metazoa; Chordata; Aves; Casuariiformes; Dromaiidae.